AUUGAACGCUGGCGGCAGGCCUAACACAUGCAAGUCGAGCGGAUGAAGGGAGCUUGCUCCUGGAUUCAGCGGCGGACGGGUGAGUAAUGCCUAGGAAUCUGCCUGGUAGUGGGGGAUAACGUCCGGAAACGGGCGCUAAUACCGCAUACGUCCUGAGGGAGAAAGUGGGGGAUCUUCGGACCUCACGCUAUCAGAUGAGCCUAGGUCGGAUUAGCUAGUUGGUGGGGUAAAGGCCUACCAAGGCGACGAUCCGUAACUGGUCUGAGAGGAUGAUCAGUCACACUGGAACUGGGACACGGUCCAGACUACUACGGGAGGCAGCAGUGGGGAAUAUUGGACAAUGGGCGAAAGCCUGAUCCAGCCAUGCCGCGUGUGUGAAGAAGGUCUUCGGAUUGUAAAGCACUUUAAGUUGGGAGGAAGGGCAGUAAGUUAAUACCUUGCUGUUUUGACGGUACCAACAGAAUAAGCACCGGCUAACUUCGUG
Molecule: ribosomal RNA, 484 nt
Filed under: uncultured bacterium
Lineage: Bacteria
Description: partial 16S ribosomal RNA
Rfam family: Bacterial small subunit ribosomal RNA
Source: RNAcentral